AGAAAUAGUCUCAGAGGUAUUACUGGGCAGGUUCCCGCCUAUUUGCACACACCCAGGGGACUUUAUGGGACAGUAUGGGGGAUGCUUGAACUGAUCAUCUUGGGUUCAGCUCCCAGGAUUGGCCCAUUGUGUUGAUGACCCUAUACCAUUCCUAUUGGAGGUACUCCUGGAGACUGUACGGUUGAUGGAUGAGCCUCAGUUAUUACAAGAGUGCAGGUUUUGGUGUAAUUGUGAUAUAUCAAACUAGCAAUCGCGCUCUGUUUAGGUUGCAGACUACUCCGAACAAAAUGCGCAGACAGUUUCCCCAGGUCAAGAUGUUAUGAGAUACUGAGGCCUUCAUAAGGCACACGUGCACCGCCUUGAUCGGGUGACGAGGCUGGGGAACC
Pelobates cultripes (western spadefoot toad) is the source of this 386-nucleotide non-coding RNA. The record is from the annotation of a GenBank genome assembly. Lineage: Eukaryota; Metazoa; Chordata; Amphibia; Anura; Pelobatidae.